GGGUAUGUGACGUCAUCCGUUGGCAGCCAUCGGCCGCCGAGACUCGGUCGAGAGAGAGAGAGAAAAAAAGAGAGGCUGCUCUUCUACCGACAGCAAGUCAGGCGUGGAAACGAUUCACAGGUCACUGGCACUGGUUACAAUAUAGGAUAUACUCACUGAGCGUGUUCAUGAGUGGAGUACUCUGAUGUACAAAACAUAUUUCCUGCCUCUGCUCGCUAGUACAGCAACUACAUUUGCUAUAGCUGCUGCAACUAGUACUACUUUCUACUAACUGAGAAGCAGGGCAUGACGGCAGCAUCUGUGGAUCAUCAGCUUACAUCUGGUACUACAGGCCCGACUGGUAGAGGGCAGGACAAAAUGGCUGGAUGCAAACCAUCAAAUAGUUGGCUUUCUACGACUGUUGUGUCGAUUACAAAAGGUCAGAAUGUAAACUAGUAUAAUACUGUCCUCACAAUCCAUACUUGAAAUACCUCUGCCAUGAGAAUUAAUAGUCAUGAACACGUAAAGUAGAACAGGUGCACUUGCCUAUGUAACACAUGUAAGGAAAAUAGAAGGCCGUGUCUCUGGUGUUUUACGCUGUCAGCAAAGAAAUCGAUGUUCCACCGAGAUAGUCCAAAUAUAUAUAGUAUAUCCUAAUGACUAAAAGAGAAAAAAACAAUGUAGCCUACAAGACACUAAGAGUAAAGGAGAGUAAGGGCAUGAUGAGAAAAACGAAGUUCGACAUAACAAGGAAAUAAAAAAGAAAUCAGUUGUUUACUAAACUACAGAAAACUAAAUAUUUAUGACGAUAAAGAAAAAUUCAGUCCUUCAAAUUACAAUUUACCGUACGUUUAUUCAACGCCUUGUUUUACGUACUAGGGGAAAUAACUCUAAUCUAUCCUCAAGGUAAGACAUACUGAACUAGAAUUAAUUCCCUUCUACGACUUGAUGCAACGUGUCAUGAUAAAAGAUUUCUCAUACCAAGUUAUUCUUUAAAAUUGUCCCUUGCUCUAAAUUUCAUAACAAACUUAAAAAAAAUUAUGAUGAUAUAAAUAAAAAUAUCUUUAUUCUUAUAAAUCUUUUAUAAUUCAAUAUUUCAACAAUAAUAAAAACUUUGAACAUAUUUUAUCACUAUUUAUUUUUUGUUUCGUUUUUGUUAAUCAGAUUUAACCUUCAAUGCUUUCCAAAGCGACACAUUUUACGUGUGAAUUAUAUGUCUACUGUGCUUUCUCUUUUAAAGUUAGUUCUAAUUUAUAGAACCGGUUCCAGAAAAAUGACUAAAAAAAAACCUCCAAAUUUUACUGACAUUUUUUCAGCCUUUUCAGACUCACAAGAUAAUCUUUAAAGUUAACUACAUAUUUAUUUAAAUUUUAAUUCUCACUAUUUUCUUCUGAUCGACGAUAAAUUUGUCAAGCUGCUGAUGACGAUGGUGGAGAAGGGGGAAGCGACAACAAAAUAUCCGAGUCGAAAAUAUCAAGGUAAGCAACUCCAGCACCUCCAAAGCCGCAAUAAAACUAGUUGUUUCCCUUGGACUGUAUGCCACUGAACCCGCUGUUUCGGGUUUACUAGUCUUCUGAUGUUCAUUCAUAUUACACAAAUGAGUUUUUAUGAAAGGUAAAAGAAAGGAAUGACAACAUAAAGCGCAAAAGUUUUGACUGCAUCACUUGCUGCUCUGAAUGAGUUGGUAAUGUUUGUAAAUAGAAUAUGAUUAUAGUAUAAAGUAAAAUACAAAUAUUUUCCAACAUCAAAUUUCCAAAACAUGAAACAAUCAAAUGUAGCUGUCAUGAAAUUUAUUCAUAUUUCAUGAACUGAACAAUGUAUGUCACACACAUAAACUCACUUCAUGGUUUCCCUAAUCUUGCUAAAAUAUCACAUUUAUUGCUAAAAACAUCAGAAAUAUGAAGAAAAUAUAUAUUCCUACAGAAUGUUUGCAACACUGGGAUGGGAAGAGGAUGGGAAGUAGAAGGGUUUACUAAACUGCUUAACAUCCUACAGCAGAUUACCUAAACAACAAUAAAGUCUACACUCAGGAGUCCAGGCACUCUCAAUAAUUUUUCAUUAUCUAUUUACACAAUCAGUUUGCACCAUAAUGCAGCUGCUGUUACUGAAGACUGGUUUUAUGUCCCCCAACUACCAGAAUAAUAAAUGUUACAUAUUCCAGUUUAGAUUUAAAAAAAAAUCAGCACAAGACAUAUAUAACAAGACAGGUUGCUUUGCAAAUAACAAUCACAAUAAAAUCUGGCUCUAAUAUAUAUUUAACUGAUUUUUACUUGGGACACCAAUUUUUUUUUUAAAGACCAGUAGUUCUAAAAAAAUUCCAAGAGAUUGUUAAAUUACCAAGCUGUUACUAGUGCUUCUGUCCAAUAUUCUUACACAUGACCUAACACUUAGAUUUAAAACAGAUUUUACUUCUACAUCCGUUUGGGUAAUUACUGGAAUUUUAAAAUUUACUACCAAUUCAGUAAGUCUCUUACUCACAUAAUAGGCGGUGAAUGUUUGUAAAGAAAGGAUACAUAAAAAGCUUUGUGGUCAUUGAACCAAGAUUAUAAAUGAUUGCUGAGUACCAGAUUCUUUCCAAUCUCUUAUAUUAAAAAAAAAAAAAA
Pomacea canaliculata is the source of this 2582-nucleotide long non-coding RNA. RefSeq lists it as uncharacterized. The transcript is spliced from 3 exons. NCBI's taxonomy places the organism in Eukaryota, Metazoa, Mollusca, Gastropoda, Architaenioglossa, Ampullariidae. The record is from RefSeq and is a predicted model, not a curated record.